GGUUUCACCAUAUUGGCCAGGAUGGUCUCGAUCUCUUGAUUUCGUGAUCUGCCCGCCUCAGCCUCCCAAAGUGCUUUUAAUAUAUCCCACUGAUUUUUUUAGUAUUUCGUUAUUUUCUGACAAGAUAAUGCUCUAGGCUUAUCUUGUAUUUUCCUUGCCCAGCCCAGGAAUCAGCAGUUUCUCCAAGGAGUUUCUUUAAUAGGUAUGUAGUAGUAGUAUAUAGUAGUUUCUUAGUUUCUUUUAGUAGGUAUGUCAUUUAGAAGCUAAAAUUGGCACUAGGUAUUCACACUGAUACUGGAUAUCAUUGCUUUGAGGCAUUUCAGCAGACAGAACUAGGAAAAUUUAUGCAAAUAAGUGUGUGUAUAUAUAUGUGGGACACAUGUAUAUAUGAAUACAUAUUUAUCAUACUUUUAAAUCAUGAGUUCAUACUGAAACUUUUAAUCCAACACCAUGGGUGCUUCUUUGCCUUCCCCCAUUCUGUAUUGUCUCUCUUACCACAGCAGUAAUAACCCUGGCUCCCAUUAUUCUCAAUAUAUUUCACUCAUUUGCUCAGUGCUACCAUAAAUACAAGUUUCAGAAUCACUACAGCUCUAUCAACAAUAAACCUUCUAAAGUUCACGACUUCUUUGUAGUUCAUUUUGUCUUUAAACUGAAGAUACAUGGUUAAGCUACCUCAAUUAGUAACUGAGUGGUUAUCAAUAUGAAUUAGUCCUUUUUGUUUGUAAACCACUUUAAAGCCUUUCCUCCUACACUGUUGACUUGAUUUUACUAAGUUAAAACAUUAAUAGUUUUACCGAACUGGAGAUUAAGUUUGAGCAGAAGUACCAACCAUGGAGUGCUGAUCCAAGAUGCCCCCCCACCUCAGGCAUCCUCUCUGGUGAAACCCCAGGGCCCUCCCACUACUGAUGGCUUUCCCUUGGCUCCAGAGAUCUGUAAGCACUGCUUGGACAGUGAAUCAUUAUUUCAAGGUCAACUUAAUGUGUGACUGUUUAUUCUCCACUUUUCCCAUUUCAAAAAUAUUUUCCCCUACCCCCCAUUCCCAGUAGCCCUUAAGAGUCAUUCUUUUUUUUUUUUUUUUUUUUUUUUUCUUAAAGCAUCUUUCCACUCUCCUUCAGUCACCAAUCCUAGUUGGGCUCUGAGGACUUUUGCAGCAGUCUCUUCACUGAUCUCUGUGGCCUCCCACUGAGCUGGAAGUCCUGUUCUCAGCUACCAUACUAACUCCAGAUCCAGAUUUUGUUGCAUUCCUCUGCUCCAGCGCCACUUCCAGAGCUCCCUGUUCUCCAGAGUCCUUAGCCCACGUAGGUGGUCCUGGACAGUCUGUCCCUCCCUUGCUUGCCUAGUGAGUUUUCUGAGCCCACAGUUCUUGUUUUCGUGAUCUCUGCUAUGGUCCAUAAAAGAGUACAUACAAGCUCUUUUUUUUCUUUUUGGAGGUAAGAGUCCAAGAAGUGUUUCACCAGGUUGUGCAGUCUGGACACCGAGAUGGUAGAGGGGCUGUAAGAUGGUAGAGGAACCAGCUCAGGAGAGCAGCUGGGCUAGCAGCUUUACGGAAGCCUUGGAUGGUGGGGAAACUCCCGUACAGAAACUCAGCUGGUCAAAGAAACUCAAAGCCACAAGACCUUGGAAGCUUUGUCAAGUGGACCAGCCUCCAUGGACCACGGAAUACCUUGAGAGUAAUGACAGUUGAGUGUUCUCUUGUGUGGGAAUGCCUUCCCCAGCUGGUGCCCUCACCUUAAAGGGAAAAAGAAAAUACACUGAAUUUUGUAAAUGGGAAAUACUUGGGUCCACUGAGCUGAUAGCUGACAAGUGUCUGUCUUUAAACUGAGAGCAGAUAAUAUGGUGAGCUGUGGUGUAGGAAGCACUGCUAGGGUCUUGCUGGUCCUGCCCCGCCUUGUGUUAAUCCAGUUCCUCCUGAGCUACACAGCUGACAAGUGGUGAAGCUGGGAUUUGAACUCAGAUGGGUUUGACCCCAGCCAAGCCUGUGUUCUGAUCAUUUCAAAGUACUACCACUCAGCUGAUGAGGAAGCCCAACUUUCUGCCUCUGGUUGCACUGAUACUUUGUCCUGGUGCUGGUGCUUAAGAUGUGGUCUGCUCAGCCAAAGAAGUCUGUGAAGGAUACUCACCCACAUGUGGAGUUGAUGAAUCAGCCCUCUUCACCUAUUCAACAGAUGUGACUGUUUUGUCUUUCUGGUUCCAAAGGAUUUCUGGAGAGCUAUGACUUUACCCUUUUAGAAGUAUUGGUCCUCAUACUCUGUGCACCUCUGAUGUCAGCAUGGGAUUUCUACAAUUCCAAGCAGGAGUUGCAGCCACUUGAUAGGCAGUGCCUCAGUCUGGGGCCUCUGUGGAAUCCAGCUGGCAUAUUCCAGCCAAUGUGGCAGCCUCAAUAGUUAGUUAAGUUUUGACCAUGUCCCUACUGUCCUGGGUGGUGAAAAUACUCCCUUUAUGUGUCCUUGGGAGCAGAAAGAUGCUCUUCAAAAAGUGGUGCCUGAUGGAGAUCUCCACAGAACAAGACACUCAGAAGGGCAGGGAUAGAAUCUUACCUGAGCUUGGUCUAGUAUGAAAAGCCUAAGGCUGGGUGCGAUGGCCCAUGCCCUGUAAUCCCAGCACUUUGGGAGGCCAAGGCAGGUGGAUUGCUUGAGCUCAGUUCAUGACCGGCCUGGGCAACAUGGUGAAAGCCUGUCUCUACUAAAAAUACAAAACUUAGCUGGGCGUGGUGGUGGGUGCCUGUAAUUCCAGCUACUUGAGAGCCUGAGGCAGGAGAAUCUCUUGAACCCCAGAGGCGGAGGUUGCUGUGAGCUGAGAUCACACCAUUGUACUCCAGCCUGGGUGACAGACCGAGACCCUGUCUUCACUUACCGCCCCCCCCCCCCCCCCGAAAAAAAAAAGGCAAGCCUGAGUGGCAUCAAACCUUUGUUUCCCAUGAAUAUACUAGUCCCUGCUUGAUGGACUGUUACCUGGGAACAGGGGCAAACAGGGAGUUACAGUCAAGCCACAAAUGGGAGAUUUGCAAGCCUGACCCAAGCCUGAAAGUGCUCAUCUAGUCUCAUACUCUUGUAACCAUCUAGAUGAGCUGUUACAGACCAUCCUUAAAUGACCUUCCUUCCUUGGCUGUCUGGAAAGCUUGCUUGCUGAUUUGUCUCCCACACCUUUGCCUUUUUUGCAUAGGCAUAUUAGGCCAUUUAAGGAACUCACCCCCUAUUGCCAGACCCAUGAAGUGUGUAGGGUAUGACUUCUUAAAGAAAGAGUGAGGAGGUCUAAUGCCAAGAGAAACUUUUUAAGACAGUCUGGCUCUGUUACCUAGAUUGGAGUGCAGUAGUGGUGCAAUCUUGGCUCACUGCAACAACCUCCACCUUGUGGGCUCAAGCCAUCCUCCUACCUUAGCCUCACGAGUAGCUGGUGUGCGCCAUCAUACGCAGCUAAUUUUUGUAUUUUUUGUAGAGGAGUUUUACCAUGCUACCCAGGCUGGUCUCGAACUCUUGAGCUCAAGUGAUCCACUCACCUUGGCCUUCCAAAGUGCUGGGAUUACAGGCGUGAGCCACCAUGCCUGGCUGAAAACUUCAUUUCUGUAGCUGCAUUGACUCUAUGUGGUCUUCAAAAGGGCACUGCCAGGGUGCAAUUAUGCAUGUAAGCCCAGAGUCUCAAGCCGUGAGGACCCAUGCUACAGGCCAGUGGAUGGGUGUUCCCUGAAUGCCUCAUGCAAAACUCAGUUUGCAAGAGACUCCCUCUUAAACCACAGAUGACUUGGCCUACACACACUCCAGAGAAAUCUAAGGAAUGAAAGAAAGUGAGCUAUUCCUAAAUUCUGCUUUCUUAAAAAAAAUUAAAAAGCCAAAACAACAAAACCACCAACUCACUAAUAAGGUUAACUUGCUGCCAUUUAACAGAUUAUCAGAAAUUGCAAACUCUCUCAAGAGCCACAGGACAGAAAAUCAUCUCUUUAAAGCCAUACCUGGUAGAAACAAUAGGAUGACUACCACAAGCCUGAUUUUGAAUAGUUUAUUAAAGGAAAGGUGAAGCAUCAGUUUCAAAUUGUACAAAAGGAAAAAAAACCUCAUAUUGCAAAUGUACAAUUUACAGAAUUACUAGCAAAACCAAUCAAGGAGACACCGAAAAUACAAAAAUUUGAUUGACUUCAAACUGAACUGGAAACCCAUUGGAGUAGAUAUUUAGCCUUUUUGUGUGGCAUGGUAGUCUACAAUUCUGUCAGCAUCUGUUUUCCAUACAAGACUGUCACGCAAAGGAUCAAUUUGUGCAUGUGCCAGGGCACCUCAUGGCUUGCUCCCUGGCCAAAACCACAGGCAGGCAGGGCUGGGGUGGACAGUCCAGUCAUUCCUGCACCUUCACUUCCAGUGAAGCCCACAAUUCUGGGAGAAAGUGAGGCCCCAGCUCCCCUAACUGGAGCCCAAGAAUUGCUGAAUUAGCAGAGAAGAUAUUUUUGGUGACCAGGUUUUUUUCAGAACUGUACAAAUGUUGAGAAAAAUGUUUUGUGUCUUUACUAAAAGGAUGAAUAAAAUCAUCCAUCAUCAUCUUGCUUUCCCGCACAAAAGAUGAUCACUGGGUGUGCAGAAUUUUAAAAAAUGUUUUUCGUAUUUGAUAAAAAGGGAAAGCCUCAUGAUUCUGUUGCAGCUACUUUAAAAACCAGCCCAGAAACAGCUGUGGAUGAAUUGGUUUGGAAAUUCUGAGGCUUACUUUAGAAAUCAGAAAGGAAGAGAGAGACUAAGUGGGGUUUUUAAAACAAUAGCAGCAAGUCAUAAAAGUCUAGGCAGAAUGUAACUCUAAACCAUUGUAGACUGUCCUGAAGAUUCAUAAUUUCUUUCCCCAAAAGAAUUAUUCUUAAUAUGCACAUUUAACACUGAAAUGUAGCUGUAAUUCAAGGUAAGCUUAGGAACUUCACCCUCUAAGCACAGACUUCUAUGCAGCACAUACUUCUAUAAUCAGUAAACUUAAUUCACAAAAUUAGCGCAUAAGGGUAUUAAGUGCAUGGGAAGUAAACACAGUUAUGUUACACUUAAAAUUACUUUUGAAUGAUUGAUAAAGGAUUUCUUCAUGAUUGAUUAUCUUAAGAAAAUGGAAGUCUGUGUAACUUGAAUUUGGCAGGGCAUGAAAUAAGUGGUAAAAACAGCAAACUGAUAACUUGAGAAUCAUUUUCGUUUUACUGAGAAUACUUUAUUUGCUGGUAGAAGUUGCUAAAAAUGCACAGAACAAAUACCAAUAGAAAAUGCACUGUAUUUGAAUCUCCCUAGUCUAUAUAAAAUGAACGGUGUACAGCAUCUGUUGGAAAAAUGGCUGCAUGGACAUUUCUUAUUUUAUGCCCACUUAUAAAUAAAAAUAAACCUUUUAUUCAAGAGUAUAUAAAAUCUGGGAAUUCAUAUCCAUAUCCACAGAGGGUGUGUGGUUUUUGGCAGAGAUGUACUAUGUCAGAAUUUCAUCUUAGCUUGUCAAUGUUCUGCUCCUUCAUUAUUUGUGUUCCACAAAGGUCAACCAAAUCCAGUGAACUCCAAAACACUCUUCGCAAUUAGGAUGAGCUGCUUACUCAUAGGUUUAAUAAAAAUGGUUAGCUUUUAAAACAUAAAAAGGCAAAAUGUUAAAACGGUUUUUAAAUUGUACAACAGGAAAAUAAAGUUAAAAAUAUGUUUUUUUUUACUCAAUGUUGAGUUUUCAUAAAACAGGUGUAUAACAGUGUUUAUCUUGACAGCUGUUUUAAAAAUUUAAAAUUUCUUCCUCCCUCCAGAAAAACACACACAUCUGUA
Molecule: long non-coding RNA, 5747 nt
Filed under: Homo sapiens (human)
Lineage: Eukaryota; Metazoa; Chordata; Mammalia; Primates; Hominidae
Description: HSALNT0314861
Source: RNAcentral